GCAAACUUGGUCAUUUAGAGGAAGUAAAAGUCGUAACAAGGUUUCCGUAGGUGAACCUGCGGAAGGAUCAUUAACGAAAUUUUGCAUUAAUUUGCAAAUUUAACACACCUGUGAACUUUUAAAUUUUGCUUUGGCUGGGCUGUAUGGUUCAGCCAAACGAUUAAAACCUUUAUAUUUUAACCUGAAUCUGAAUUGAAAAAUUUAAUUUAAUUAAAACUUUCAACAACGGAUCUCUUGGUUCUCGCAUCGAUGAAGAACGCAGC
This 263-nucleotide unclassified non-coding RNA is filed under the name uncultured fungus. RNAcentral's name for it is "partial contains small subunit ribosomal RNA, internal transcribed spacer 1, and 5.8S ribosomal RNA". The stretch from base 1 to 73 matches the Rfam family "Eukaryotic small subunit ribosomal RNA", at positions 1759 to 1831 of the family's 1831-position model. Lineage: Eukaryota; Fungi. The record is from RNAcentral.